GGAGCCUGGGAUGAGAGUGAACUCACUUCACUCCAGUCUGCAACUCCGAGUUGCACUGCAAGGAGGAUGACAUAUCAGGGUUCUCACCAUGCAUUGAACAGGUGGCUGUCUGCAUGCUGUUUAGAGCAGAAGCACUCUGCAUGAGUAACUGUUCCUGCACAGUCUCCUGGGUGGAACCAGGGAUGAGAGUGAACUCAUUUCACUCCAGUCUGCAACUCCAAGUUGCACUGCAAGCAGGACGAUGCCACAGUGUUCUCAUCAUGCGUCGAAUAGGAGGAGGACAGGCUCAAAGCAUGGCUUCCCGAUUCACAGCGUGGCCCUGACCUAUCAUCCAGGCAUCUUCAGUCUCUCUGCCUGUUGUGCAAUGACUCUGCAGACCUCUGAAUGAUCAUUUGGUGACAUCCAUGUUCCCUGAAUGCCAAAGCAGUCUGAAAUGUUUCACUGUACGAAAGUCAGGUCUGCGUGAACACCAUGGUGUGUGUGACUGGCCUUCUCAGGCAUGCUGCUUUCCUGUUGGCUUGAGGACUGUAUCACUGCAGGGCAAAAUAUUCCAUAAGCAUAUCCCUGGAGGACAGAGCAAGGGAGGGCCAGCUCCCUGUGCAGCUCACUAGUCCCUAAAUUUUGGGACAUGCAGAAAGGUAUGAGUGGUGGCUCUCCCAGCUGUGAAGGAGUCCUUGUUAUUCUGUGGGAGGCAGCGAAGAUUGAAUGCAGGCUCACUGCACCUUGAUUGGCCAUUUGAACCUUCUGCCAUUGGAUGUCUAGUGGAAGGAACUUCUUAUUCAUGUACUAGGCCCUGCAGCUUUGUUCUGAGGUGCCAACAGGGACAAGGGUGUGCUUACUUUGUGGCCAAAUGGUCCUCGUGAGUUCCAUACCUAGAAGCUGCACUGAGGGCAGAAUUGCUGCGUGCUUUCUGUGAUUCACCAGGCCUCUGUAUGACUAUCUCUUCCAUGAGGCAAGCAUGUUUCCAUGACUACCGAUCCUGAAAGCGUCCACCAGGUGGUGUACAGGACCAGGGCCAAAGCACUGUGGGCUGGCCAGCCCUCAGAGGACUGAUGCAUAGCUGGCAGUGUGAGGAGAAGUGGACUGCAUUGCUAAGCACUCCAUCAGCAUUCCACUUGAGGCAAGCUAGACAGGGCAGUUUCAGCAUGUGCCUAAAAAUGCACUGAAGAUCAGGUGAAUGCCGCACAGUAGGAGUGAGGGCUCUGUGUGGGCUAUUGAAAGGGCCUCAGUGGUCUGUCUGAGUCAAAACUAUGGGAAUGGAGGCUCACUGUAUGGCUCUCCACUGUAUUGGGGUGUGCUGUCUGCCAUCUUUGGCAAUUCAAGAUGGCUGCAGGGCUAGGCCCUGCUCCUUUCUCCACAGGUUGCAGGCUGAAGUGACGGCAGGCUGACUGACUCAUGAAGCAUUCCUUGUCAGAUGGUUGGCCUCAGGCUGAGGUGGCUGUAUGCAUGCUCUGGAGAGCAGGAGCACUCUGUGUGAGUAGCUGUUCCUGAACAGUCUCCUGUUUGGAGCCUGGGAUGACAGUGAAUUCACUUCCCACCCGUCUGCACCUCCACUUUGCACUGCAGGGAGGACGACGCCACGGGGUUCUUACCAUGUGACGAACAGACAGCUGUAUGCAUGCUGUGGAGAGCAUGAACACUCUGCAUGUAUAUUUGUUCCUAAAGAUUCGGCUUCAUGUAGCCUGGGAUUUGAGCGAAAUGACUUUGUGCUAGUCUGCAGCUCAAAGUUUCACUGGAAGGACGAUGCCUCCAGGUGGUUCUCACAAUG
Long non-coding RNA from Fukomys damarensis (Damara mole-rat), 1768 nucleotides. RefSeq lists it as uncharacterized. The record is from RefSeq and is a predicted model, not a curated record. Lineage: Eukaryota; Metazoa; Chordata; Mammalia; Rodentia; Bathyergidae. The transcript is spliced from 5 exons.